GGGUUGUGAGGUUAAGCGACUAAGCGUACACGGUGGAUGCCCUGGCAGUCAGAGGCGAUGAAGGACGUGCUAAUCUGCGAUAAGCGUCGGUAAGGUGAUAUGAACCGUUAUAACCGGCGAUUUCCGAAUGGGGAAACCCAGUGUGAUUCGUCACACUAUCAUUAACUGAAUCCAUAGGUUAAUGAGGCGAACCGGGGGAACUGAAACAUCUAAGUACCCCGAGGAAAAGAAAUCAACCGAGAUUCCCCCAGUAGCGGCGAGCGAACGGGGAGGAGCCCAGAGCCUGAAUCAGUGUGUGUGUUAGUGGAAGCGUCUGGAAAGGCGCGCGAUACAGGGUGACAGCCCCGUACACAAAAAUGCACAUACUGUGAGCUCGAUGAGUAGGGCGGGACACGUGGUAUCCUGUCUGAAUAUGGGGGGACCAUCCUCCAAGGCUAAAUACUCCUGACUGACCGAUAGUGAACCAGUACCGUGAGGGAAAGGCGAAAAGAACCCCGGCGAGGGGAGUGAAAAAGAACCUGAAACCGUGUACGUACAAGCAGUGGGAGCCUCUUUAUGGGGUGACUGCGUACCUUUUGUAUAAUGGGUCAGCGACUUAUAUUCUGUAGCAAGGUUAACCGAAUAGGGGAGCCGAAGGGAAACCGAGUCUUAACUGGGCGUUAAGUUGCAGGGUAUAGACCCGAAACCCGGUGAUCUAGCCAUGGGCAGGUUGAAGGUUGGGUAACACUAACUGGAGGACCGAACCGACUAAUGUUGAAAAAUUAGCGGAUGACUUGUGGCUGGGGGUGAAAGGCCAAUCAAACCGGGAGAUAGCUGGUUCUCCCCGAAAGCUAUUUAGGUAGCGCCUCGUGAAUUCAUCUCCGGGGGUAGAGCACUGUUUCGGCAAGGGGGUCAUCCCGACUUACCAACCCGAUGCAAACUGCGAAUACCGGAGAAUGUUAUCACGGGAGACACACGGCGGGUGCUAACGUCCGUCGUGAAGAGGGAAACAACCCAGACCGCCAGCUAAGGUCCCAAAGUCAUGGUUAAGUGGGAAACGAUGUGGGAAGGCCCAGACAGCCAGGAUGUUGGCUUAGAAGCAGCCAUCAUUUAAAGAAAGCGUAAUAGCUCACUGGUCGAGUCGGCCUGCGCGGAAGAUGUAACGGGGCUAAACCAUGCACCGAAGCUGCGGCAGCGACACUAUGUGUUGUUGGGUAGGGGAGCGUUCUGUAAGCCUGUGAAGGUGUACUGUGAGGUAUGCUGGAGGUAUCAGAAGUGCGAAUGCUGACAUAAGUAACGAUAAAGCGGGUGAAAAGCCCGCUCGCCGGAAGACCAAGGGUUCCUGUCCAACGUUAAUCGGGGCAGGGUGAGUCGACCCCUAAGGCGAGGCCGAAAGGCGUAGUCGAUGGGAAACAGGUUAAUAUUCCUGUACUUGGUGUUACUGCGAAGGGGGGACGGAGAAGGCUAUGUUGGCCGGGCGACGGUUGUCCCGGUUUAAGCGUGUAGGCUGAUUUUCCAGGCAAAUCCGGAAAAUCAAGGCUGAGGCGUGAUGACGAGGCACUACGGUGCUGAAGCAACAAAUGCCCUGCUUCCAGGAAAAGCCUCUAAGCAUCAGGUAACAUCAAAUCGUACCCCAAACCGACACAGGUGGUCAGGUAGAGAAUACCAAGGCGCUUGAGAGAACUCGGGUGAAGGAACUAGGCAAAAUGGUGCCGUAACUUCGGGAGAAGGCACGCUGAUAUGUAGGUGAAGCGACUUGCUCGUGGAGCUGAAAUCAGUCGAAGAUACCAGCUGGCUGCAACUGUUUAUUAAAAACACAGCACUGUGCAAACACGAAAGUGGACGUAUACGGUGUGACGCCUGCCCGGUGCCGGAAGGUUAAUUGAUGGGGUUAGCGGUAACGCGAAGCUCUUGAUCGAAGCCCCGGUAAACGGCGGCCGUAACUAUAACGGUCCUAAGGUAGCGAAAUUCCUUGUCGGGUAAGUUCCGACCUGCACGAAUGGCGUAAUGAUGGCCAGGCUGUCUCCACCCGAGACUCAGUGAAAUUGAACUCGCUGUGAAGAUGCAGUGUACCCGCGGCAAGACGGAAAGACCCCGUGAACCUUUACUAUAGCUUGACACUGAACAUUGAGCCUUGAUGUGUAGGAUAGGUGGGAGGCUUUGAAGUGUGGACGCCAGUCUGCAUGGAGCCGACCUUGAAUACCACCCUUUAAUGUUUGAUGUUCUAACGUUGGCCCGUUAUCCGGGUUGCGGACAGUGUCUGGUGGGUAGUUUGACUGGGGCGGUCUCCUCCUAAA
RNAcentral lists this ribosomal RNA (2276 nucleotides) under Escherichia coli. RNAcentral's name for it is "bacterial LSU rRNA". It matches the Rfam family "Bacterial large subunit ribosomal RNA", at positions 1 to 2294 of the family's 2925-position model. The record is from RNAcentral. Lineage: Bacteria; Pseudomonadati; Pseudomonadota; Gammaproteobacteria; Enterobacterales; Enterobacteriaceae.